Molecule: ribosomal RNA, 410 nt
Filed under: uncultured bacterium
Lineage: Bacteria
Description: bacterial SSU rRNA
Rfam family: Bacterial small subunit ribosomal RNA
Source: RNAcentral
ACUCCGAAACUGCAUUCGAUACUGCCGUGCUUGAGGACUGGAGAGGAGACUGGAAUUUACGGUGUAGCGGUGAAAUGCGUAGAUAUCGUAAGGAAGACCAGUGGCGAAGGCGGGUCUCUGGACAGUUCCUGACGCUGAGGCACGAAGGCCAGGGGAGCAAACGGGAUUAGAUACCCCGGUAGUCCUGGCAGUAAACGGUGCACGUUUGGUGUGGGAGGAUUCGACCCCUUCUGCGCCGGAGCUAACGCGUUAAACGUGCCGCCUGGGGAGUACGGUCGCAAGAUUAAAACUCAAAGAAAUUGACGGGGGCCCGCACAAGCGGUGGAGUAUGUGGCUCAAUUCGAUGCAACGCGAAGAACCUUACCAGGCCUUGACAUGCAUCUCUAAGCUGGUGAAAGCCAGUGAGUCCC